UUCCGGAUCCGUGCGGAAUGACGUGCAUGGACUGCUCUAACCAACGGCGUUGCUUCAAGUUGUUAGCUAUAAACUUUCCAGUCCCCAGAAGACAAGGUUCAGGAAAAAAAAACGUGUAUUUUGUUUGCGCUGCAAAAUGUAUGAAAAUAUGGAUGUGAGACAGAGAAAAGUGUUCAAACUGCCGACCAACACAGAGAAGUAUCGUGAAGCACAUCCCAACGACGGUUACAUCGGCGAGGAUCACGACGAAACCGACGAGUUUAGGAAGAUGGUGGACAGUUACAGCGAAACUGGGAGACAGAAGCUAUCUUCCAGAUAAUCCAAAGUGUCAGACAAGGGUUGUGAUGGCCAAAGAUCAGCACCUUCUCCUCGUGGGAAACACCAAAACCGUCACCCCGUCCCUGAUACACAGGUCUCAGACGCAUCCUCCUCUCUAUGUCAAGUUAAACAUCAGUUGAUUCUACAUACUGUGAAUUAAUGUCUCGCUCUCUCAUCUCUUGUCCUCUCUCUCUCUUUUGGUGUCAAACUAUGUCCAGGACUGUCUUUUGUUAAUAUUGAUUGGUCUGUAUUGGUAAUGUUGAAACAUGAAAUGUGUUUUCCAUCUAGUUAUUGAAAUAACCAUUUUGUUUAUGGAAAGUUAAUGCCUGUUCUCCUGUCUCAUCUGAGCUGUACUCUGUUAGUGACACUGAUCCCAGGUCAGUUUGGUAUUGGUCCCACUGUUGGGACGUGGGGAGAGAACCACUGCUCUAGGUUCAGUCUCAUCGUGUUAGUACACUCUUUCUCUUCAUGUCUCUUUCAAUUAAAAAAUAAAUAAAUUCAGUUUGCUUUAUUGGCACAACGUAAGAAUGUACACUACCGUUCAAAGUUUGGGGUCACUUAGAAAUAUCCUUGUUUUCUAAAGAAAAGCCCUUUUUUUUUGGUCCAUUAAAAUGACUUCAAAUUGAUCAGA
Molecule: long non-coding RNA, 949 nt
Organism: Oncorhynchus nerka (sockeye salmon)
Lineage: Eukaryota; Metazoa; Chordata; Actinopteri; Salmoniformes; Salmonidae
Exons: 2
Source: RefSeq, a predicted model, not a curated record